UCUCCUACCUGGUCCUUUCUAGUCAUCU
Molecule: non-coding RNA, 28 nt
Filed under: Rattus norvegicus (Norway rat)
Lineage: Eukaryota; Metazoa; Chordata; Mammalia; Rodentia; Muridae
Source: RNAcentral